Long non-coding RNA from Solanum pennellii, 1097 nucleotides. RefSeq lists it as uncharacterized. The record is from RefSeq and is a predicted model, not a curated record. NCBI's taxonomy places the organism in Eukaryota, Viridiplantae, Streptophyta, Magnoliopsida, Solanales, Solanaceae. The transcript is spliced from 2 exons.
AUUAAUUGCGUAUUUUUUAAGCCAUAGUACACUUGUAUCCAAUAGAAUUUGGACACGUCAGAUGAAUUUGUCAUAUGUGGGGUCCAUUUGUUGCUUCAAAAAUAGAAUUCAAUUUUUUUUUAUAUUUUCUUUUUUUUUCUUUUUUAAUGCACGGAUGUCCCAGUGACAGGAGGGGUAAGAAGUUGGAGUUAUUGGCUAAUAUCAUCGCUAGGUGUAAUAGUCCAUGGUUAGUAAUGGGUGAGUUUAAUGGUCUAUUAACUAUGGAUGAUAGAAUUGGAUGCAAAGGUUGUAGAAGUGUGUGUGGCUGGUUAGAACUUCCCCAUGCAGAUACACUUGGAAAAUAGAUUGGGUGUUUGUUAAUGCAGAAUGGUUAGAGGCAUACAAUGCAACUUUUCUGCCACAGCGACCACUGUCCAGCAAAGAUUAGCCUAAUACAUCGAUGACAAAAUCUUUCAAGUAUUAAAUGGAACACUUUCCAGGUUGUACAAGGUGAAAAAAUUGAAUGGUCACCAUUCUAACAGAGGCUAAUGAAGAUAGAUUGAAGCAAGUUCAACAAACAGCACUACAAAAGGGAAACGUCUCCAAGAGUUAUAUCGCUUUACUUGGGAACUCAAUUAUGCUGCCAAAGCAUAGAAUGAUUGCUUCCCAAAAUACAAUACUUACCAAGGAAAGAAUGAGCAGAUUGAACAUUCCAGUUGAUGACCUUACAUGCUGCUCCUGUGAGGAAAAUGAAAUAGAGACUCAGAAUCAUUUGUUUGCUAGAUGUGGCUGGAUAUCGGAAAUAAGGGUCGCUCUCUUUACAUGAUCAGGCUUGUACUUGCAACAGAGGAGAGUAAUACAAAAUCUAGAAUGGUUUCAAAGAAGAAAAUGGAAGAGGUUCCAAAAAGAAGUAUCUGCUGCAAUUUAUGGUGCUAUGAUUCAUCACACUUGACGAGCAAGGAAUAUAAAGAUGUUCAGGAACAUACAUGUAAUUACGAGUUCUGUUAUAGCACAGAUCCAAAGGGAGAUUAGGGAGAGGAUAGAUAUGUUACACUGUUUAAAAAGAACUCAUAGAUGCACUAACUUAAUGUCUAGAAUUUAUAAAUAGGUUGUUGGUA